UAGUCAUAUGCUUGUCUCAAAGAUUAAGCCAUGCAUGUCUCAGUGUAAACUUUUAAACAGUGAAACUGCGAAUGGCUCAUUAAAACAGUUAUAGUUUAUUUGGUAAUCAUUUUUACAUGGAUAACCGUGGGAAUUCUAGGGCUAAUACAUGCGUAAACCCGCAAGGGAUGUGUUUAUUAGAUUAAAACCAACACGUAUUUCGGUACGUUUUAUUGGAAUGAUAAUAACCGUUCGAAUCGCACGCUUUAUGUGGCGAUAGACCAUUCAAGUUUCUGAC
RNAcentral lists this ribosomal RNA (277 nucleotides) under uncultured eukaryote. Its description in RNAcentral is "partial 18S ribosomal RNA". It matches the Rfam family "Eukaryotic small subunit ribosomal RNA", at positions 21 to 311 of the family's 1831-position model. The record is from RNAcentral.